CUUUUCGCCAAGGGAUGAGACUAUAUGGCAUCAGGUAGUUGGUGGGGUAAUGGCCCACCAAGCCAAUGACGCCUAGCUGGUCUGAGAGGAUGAUCAGCCACACUGGUACUGAGACACGGACCAGACUCCUACGGGAGGCAGCAGUGGGGAAUAUUGCACAAUGGAGGAAACUCUGAUGCAGCAACGCCGCGUGGAGGAUGACGCAUUUCGGUGUGUAAACUCCUUUUAUAUGGGAAGAUAAUGACGGUACCAUAUGAAUAAGCACCGGCUAACUCCGUGCCAGCAGCCGCGGUAAUACGGAGGGUGCAAGCGUUACUCGGAAUCACUGGGCGUAAAGCGCGCGCAGGCGGUUUGACAAGUUGGAUGUGAAAUCCUAUGGCUCAACCAUAGAACUGCAUCCAAAACUGUCAAACUAGAGUCUGGGAGAGGAAGAUGGAAUUAGUUGUGUAGGGGUAAAAUCCGUAGAGAUAACUAGGAAUACCAAAAGCGAAGGCGAUCUUCUGGAACAGUACUGACGCUGA
This 521-nucleotide ribosomal RNA is filed under the name uncultured bacterium. Its description in RNAcentral is "bacterial SSU rRNA". It matches the Rfam family "Bacterial small subunit ribosomal RNA", at positions 211 to 749 of the family's 1533-position model. The record is from RNAcentral.